AAAAAGAAACAAAAUUUUGUGCGCUGCUCUCCCCGGUGGCUGGCUCCUUCGCUGGUGCCGGAGGCCUCGAUCCUUCUUCCUUUCUCUUCUCUUUCCUCUGCCCUCCUUCCCUCAGUGGUUCGAUAUGCUCGGCAUCUAUAUGGUGGUUGGCUUGCCCCGGAUUAUGACCUAGAUCUCGGUGCCAUAGGUCUGGAUCCGGUGGCUCAUGUUCUCUAUUGGAGCGUCAGCGAGUCUCGUCAGUGGUCUGUGUGUGGUAGGGCCGGCUUUUAGGGAUUACGGUGGUGGUGAAUUUUCAGAUCUGUUUCUGCUCUCCUCCGCCUUUGAGACCAGCGCAUGGUUGGUUUAGCUUUUUAACUCUCAUGGUCUCCUGAGGGUUCACGUGGUGUGGAGUCUCAGUUCUCCUGUUUGUUGGGCCGUGGUGAGUUGUAGAUCUCGUAGCCUCCCCUUGGUGUUUUGGUGGAGUUUCUCUUCUUCUCUUCGGUCAGGAUAUGCAUCAGCGUUUUCUUCUCGGGUGUGGUGCGCAGCGAGUAGGUGGUCUCGUGUGUCUCUUCCUUCUCUCUGGUCUUUGCACUUGUUGGUUUC
Molecule: long non-coding RNA, 582 nt
Filed under: Brassica napus (rape)
Lineage: Eukaryota; Viridiplantae; Streptophyta; Magnoliopsida; Brassicales; Brassicaceae
Description: long non-coding RNA (BNAP_LNC001339)
Source: RNAcentral